GCAUGUCAUAAUGGUACUGAAAACUAUAGCUUUAACCUAUGUAAGUAAGGUUUACAUUUUUGCCUAUUCAGUUAUUAAAGCUUUAGAGGCAGGAUGGUAAAAUCUCAAUUUUUUUGGUAGAUUGAACCAUUUCAGCAGCAAUGCUUUGCUUUGGUUGCUCUGUUUUGUUUUUCUGGGGGGGGGGGGGUUAAAAAACAAACCCAUUUCUUUGUUAAUUGAAUUUUUUUUCUUCUUUUUUUUCUUUUUUUUUCUUCUUCGUCAAUUAUUAGUUUGCCCAAUCUCUCAUUGAGGGUAAAACACAUGUGGAGGAGUACAACACUGAAAUCCCAAAGCUCAGGUCACGACUUUGCCACUACUUAUUUUCCUCAAUAGGUAAAUAUAAAAUUAGCCGCCUUCUUUUUCUCUAACAUUGGAAAAUGUAACUUGUACUUAAACAAAUUAUAUUUUGCAGAUCGAACUAGGAAGUGCAGUCAGUGCUGGUGUGUGAUUGCAGCCAAAGACUGGGUACGCUAUGACAUGUCCUUAGCCAUAUAGAUUGUUUAUAUAAUGGACUUUGUUCAUUUGUUUUUUGUUUGUUUCUUUCUUUUUUUUUAAUUCACAGGUGCAGUGCCAGAAAUGUGGUGCAUACAAGCACAUGCGUUGUUCAAAGUCUGUUUGUGGCAUCUGUAUCUUCUGUGAGACACAGUGCAGCACAGCAGAGGGAAAGGAGUUGUGCAGCAUAGUAGGUGGCUAUACAGGAGGAGCAAUAGAAGUAGCCAGCGAAGAAUGUCAUCAGGGAAAGCAUCAGGCAGCGAAUGACAAAGGAAAAGUUCCUAAGGGAGAGGACAUCUGCAGCAAACUGACAAGUAACAGUGAGAUAGGAGGACUGGCAGUCAGAGAUGAAGGUACACAGACUGAAGACAAAGAAAAAGAAACAGAAGUAUACAGCACAAGUCUGAGUACAGAUACUGCUGCUGAUGUUGACAGGAUCGAUGCAGAUACAGAAUUUCAAACUGAUUCAGAAGGAACUAGUACAGUUUACAGAGUGCAUGGUCGCUUAUCUGUACCAAGCUCAAAAAAGAAAACUUACACAAUAACAGAAGACGAGAUCAAGCGCAGAAUCCAAGCAGAGAACAUGUCAGUUCAUGUUUUCAGAGGUUUGAUUGGG
Long non-coding RNA from Oreochromis aureus, 1147 nucleotides. The record is from Ensembl. Lineage: Eukaryota; Metazoa; Chordata; Actinopteri; Cichliformes; Cichlidae.